This 3091-nucleotide long non-coding RNA is filed under the name Homo sapiens (human). RNAcentral's name for it is "HSALNT0361391". The record is from RNAcentral. Lineage: Eukaryota; Metazoa; Chordata; Mammalia; Primates; Hominidae.
UUCUUUGCUAGCUAGCUAUAAUUCUUUUUUUUUUUUUUUUUGAGACAGAGUGUUGUCUUGUCCGGGCUGGAAUGCAGUGGCUCGAUCUCAGCUCACUGCAACUUCUGCCUCCUGGGUUCAAGCGAUUCUCCUGUCUCAGCCUCCUGAGUAGCUGGGAUUACAGGCAUGUGCCACCACACCUGGCUAGUUUUUGUAUUUUUAGUAGAGACGGGGUUUCACCAUGUUGGCCAGGCUUAUCUAGAGCUCCUGACCUCAAGUGAUCCACCUGCCUCGGCCUCCCAAAGUGCUGGGAUUACAGGUGUGAGCCAUCGCGCCCAGCCUGCUAGCUAUAAUUCUUUGAUAAAUUAUGAAUUCAGGUCUUUACUUUUAGGAGGUCUGUGUUAAUCUGUUGUGUUGCUAUAAAGAAAUACCUAACCUAGCUUAGGGAACAUAGUGAGAUCCCAUCUCUAAAAAACAAAUUAGUUGGACACAGUGGCAUGCACUUGUAGUCCCAGCUACUCGGGAGGCUGAGGUGGGCGGAUCACUUUAGCCCAGGAGUUCGAGGCUGCAGUGAGCCAUGAUCGCACCACUGCAUACCAGCCUGGGUGACAGAGAGAGACCCUAUCUCAAACAACAACAAAAACAAACCAAAAGGACAAAAACAAAAACAAAAAAAGAAAUACCUGAGACUAGGUAGUUUAUAAAGAAAAGAGUUUAAUUUGGCUCACAGUUCUGCAGGCUGUACAGGAAGUGUGGGGCUGGCAUCUGCCUCACUGAGGUGAGGGCCUCAGGAAGCUUACAGUCAUGGUAGAAGGUGAAGGAGGAGCAGAUGAAUCAUAUGGUGAGAGAGAAAGCCAGAGAGAGACAAGGGUGUGGUCCCAGACUCUUAAGCAAUCAAAUCUCAUGUGAACUAACUGAGCAAGAACUGACUUAUCACCAACGGGUGUUAACCAUUCAUGAGGGAUCUGCCCCCAUGAUCCCAAUCACCUCCCACCAGGAAAUCACAUUGGGAAUCACAUUUCAACAUGAGAUUUGGAGGGGACAAACAUCCAAACCAUAUCAUUCUGCCCCUGGCUCCCUGAAUCUCAUGUCCUUCUCACAUUUCAAAAUAUAAUCAUGCCUUCAUAAUAGUCCUCUGAAGUCUUAACUCAAAAGUCCCAAGUCCCAAGUCCAAAGACUCAUCUGGAGAUGAGUUUCUUCUACCUAUGAACCUGUAAGAUCAAAAACAAGUUAUUUACUUCCCAGACACAAUGGUGGUGCAGGCAUUGGGUAAACAUUCCUAUUUUAAAAGGGAGGAAUCGGCCAUAAGAAAGAGGCAACAGACCCCAAGCAAGUCCAAAAUCCAGCAGAGCAGCCAUUAAAUCUUAAAGCUCCAAAAUAAUCUCCUUUGACACCAUGUUCCCCAUCCAAAGAACACUAGUGCAGGGAUGGGCUCCCAGGGUCUUGGUAGCUCUGCCUCUGUGGCUUUGCUGAAUGCAGUCCACAUGGCUGCUCUGAUGGGCUAGAGUCCAGUGCCUGUGGCUUUUCCAGGCUGAGGAUGCAAGCUGCUGCUGGCUCUACCAUUCUUGGUUCUGGAUAAUGACAGUCCCCUUCCCAAAGCUCCAUUAGGCAGUGCCUUAGUGGGUAUUCUGUGUGGGGGCUCCAACCCCACAUUUCCUCUCAGGGCUGCCCUAGCAGAGGCUCUCUGCCAGGGCUCUGACCCUGGGGCAGACUUCUGCCCUAGCACCUAGGCUCUGAAAUUGAAGUGGAAGCUGCUAAGCCUCCUUCACUCUUACAUUCUGCAUGCCUACAGGCUUAACACUGUGUGGAAGUUGCCAAGGCUUACAGCUUUCACCCUCUGAAGCAGCAGCCUGAGCUAUACCUGGGCCCCUUUGAGCUGAGGCUGGAGCUGGAGCAGCUGGGAUGUGGGGAGCAGUGUUCUGAGGCUGAGCAGGACAGUGAGGCCUUGGGCCUGGCCUCUGAAACCAUUUUUUCCACCUAGGCCUCUGAGCCUGUGAUGGGAGGAGCUGUCUCUAAGAUCUCUAAAGUGACUUUGAGGCCUUUUGCUCAUUGUCUUGGAUAUUAGCCCUUGGCACCCUUUUAGUCACGCUAAUCCCCCUAGCAAGUGGUUGCUCCACAGCCUGUUUAUAUUCCUCUCUCAAUAAUGCUUUUUUAUUCUCUGCCACAUGGCUGGCUACGAGUUUUCCAAACUUGUAUGCUUUGUUUCCCUUUUAAAUGUAAGUUUCAGCUUUAAGUCAUUUCUUUGCUCCUAUAACUUAUUGCAGGCUGUUAGAAGCAGGCAGACUACUUUCUGGAUGCUUUGCUGCUUAGAAUUUUUUUCUGCCAGAUAUCCUAGGUCAUCACUCUUAAGUUCAAAUUUCCACAGAUCCCUAGGACAUGAACACAAUGCAGUCAAAUUCUUUGCUAGAGUGUAACAUGGGUGACUUUUACUCCAGUUCCCAAUAACUUCCUCAUUUCCUUCUGAGACCUCGACAGCCUGGCCUUCAGUAUCUGUAUUUCUACUAGCAUUUCAGUCACAACCAUUUAACCAGUCUCUAAGAAGUUCCACACUUUUCCUCAUCUUCCUAUCUUCUUCUGAGCCCUCCAAACUCUUCCAGCCUCUGCCUAUUACCCAGUUCUAAAGGCACUUCCAAAUUUUCAGGUAUCUUUAUAGCAAUGCCUGACUCCUCAGUACCAAUUUUCUGUGUUAGUCCAUUCUUGUGUUGCUAUAAAUAUCUAAGACUGGGUAAUUUAUAAAGAAAAGAGGUUUAUUUGGCUCACAGUUCUGCAAACUGUAUAGUAAGUAUGGUGCUGGCAUCUGCAUCUGGUGAGGGCCUCAGGAAGCUUACAGUCAUGGUAGAAGGUGAAUGGGGAGCAGAUGAAUCAUAUGGUGAGAGAGGAAGUCACAGAGAGAGACUAGGAUGUGGUACCAGACUCUUAAGCAAUCAAAUCUCACGUGAACUAACUGAGCAAGAAGUGACUUAUCACCAAGGGGUGUUAACCAUUCAUGAGGGAUCUGCCCACAUGAUCCAAUCACCUCCCACCAGGAAAUCACAUUGGGAAUCACAUUUCAACAUGAGAUUUGGAGGGGACAAACAUCCAAACCAUAUCAAGGUCAAAGUAUUUUUAAAAU